ACGCGGCGGCGGAGAUCGUCCCGUGUCGUCCGCCGGAGGCGGUGCCGUACUCCUCGCGAGCACGGACCAGCGGCGGUUGAACCGGAGCCAGAAGGCGGCAGCGGAAGGUGAGUUGAUGCGGGCCUGUCCGGCAUCGACAGCUUACAGCCCUGCCGUUCGGCGGUCCGGUCCGACCGAGGAAACAGGGCAGCCCUUGCCCGUCGUGGUACACGCCGCAUGGCGGGGCCUCCCGACACGAGUGAACCGUGCGGUCCGGACUGCACGCAGUGCGGAUCGUGGCGGCGAUCUCGUGCCGGAGAGUGCCACCCGUGUGCCAGUGCUGCUGGUAUUCAGAC
RNAcentral lists this unclassified non-coding RNA (335 nucleotides) under Taonura flabelliformis. Its description in RNAcentral is "sequence contains 28S rRNA gene". The record is from RNAcentral. Lineage: Eukaryota; Metazoa; Porifera; Demospongiae; Dictyoceratida; Thorectidae.